Ribosomal RNA from Kwoniella heveanensis BCC8398, 121 nucleotides. Lineage: Eukaryota; Fungi; Basidiomycota; Tremellomycetes; Tremellales; Cryptococcaceae. The record is from Rfam.
AUCGUCGGCCACAGAAUUGAGAAAGUACCGAAUCCCGUCCGCUCUUCGAAGUUUGAAACUCAAUAUCGCCCGGUUAGUACCAUCGUGGGGGACCAGAUGGGAAUCCCGGGUGCUGACGGUU